GCGGGGGUGCCCGAGCGGUCGAAGGGGCAGGGCUUAGGACCCUGUGCCGUCAGGGCUUCGUGGGUUCAAAUCCCACCCCCCGCACCA
This 87-nucleotide transfer RNA is filed under the name Candidatus Bathyarchaeota archaeon. RNAcentral describes it as "tRNA-Leu". It matches the Rfam family "tRNA". Rfam says of the family: Transfer RNA (tRNA) molecules are approximately 80 nucleotides in length. Their secondary structure includes four short double-helical elements and three loops (D, anti-codon, and T loops). Lineage: Archaea; Thermoproteati; Candidatus Bathyarchaeota. The record is from RNAcentral.